CCCUUAGAUGUUCUGGGCCGCACGCGCGCUACACUGAUGCAUUCAACGAGUCUAAAACCUGCUCUGAUAGGGGUGGGUAAUCUUUUGAAUGUGCAUCGUGAUUGGGAUAGAUGAUUGCAAUUUUUCAUCUUCAACGAGGAAUGCCUAGUAAACGCAAGUCAUCAGCUUGCAUUGAUUACGUCCCUGCCCUUUGUACACACCGCCCGUCGCUCCUACCGAUUGAAUGAUCCGAUGAAUAUCAUGGAUUGAGGAUGCAAGCAGGUUCACCUGUCUUCAUCUUCGAGAAGUGAAGUAAAUCUUAUCAUUUAGAGGAAGGAGAAGUCGUAACA
RNAcentral lists this ribosomal RNA (329 nucleotides) under uncultured eukaryote. Its description in RNAcentral is "partial 18S ribosomal RNA". It matches the Rfam family "Eukaryotic small subunit ribosomal RNA", at positions 1470 to 1796 of the family's 1831-position model. The record is from RNAcentral.